UAACCAGAGACUUAGAGUUUUGUUGAGUCCAAAAGUUAGAGGUUGUAGGAGCUUUCCUUUGGUCAUUUCCUAGGGUGUCUAACCAGAAGUUAUCUGAAGCUAGGAGUUUCGAAGCCAUAAGUCAAGGAGUUCGGAGUUAGAGGCAUUGGGUUACAUAGUGUUCUUGCUCCAGGUUGUUAACUCAGGUGUCCGGUUAAGAGUUCUGAC
This 207-nucleotide long non-coding RNA is filed under the name Gossypium barbadense (sea-island cotton). RNAcentral's name for it is "long non-coding RNA (GBAR_LNC006309)". Lineage: Eukaryota; Viridiplantae; Streptophyta; Magnoliopsida; Malvales; Malvaceae. The record is from RNAcentral.